CCUCAGGGACUAAAAGAAUGACACAUGGAUAAACAGGAACUAAGCUCCUAAGCUUUUCACCUACCUGCCAUCUUCCUCACCACGCAUGAGGAUUAGAAGCGUCACAAAGAAAGCAGUCUCGGAAGUUUGUCAAAUAGAGAUUUCUGGGUGAUGGUUUGGGAAAGGAUGAUUUAGAUCGUGCCUCUCCUGGGUGAGGAAAGUGACUGAAACACAUAACAGCAGAGAACUUGAAGUGCUGGUUUGAGCUUCAGGAGAUGUGAGUUCUAGCCCCAGUGCUGCCUGUGAUUUUCUCUGUGACCUGGGACAAGUCCCUUGUGGAUACGACAGGAUGUGCGGGCUACAAGGAUCUCUGAGACUUCUCCCAGGACAAAUGAGAUAAAGUUAUGCUCCUGGAAGAUGUCCUGGGUUACAUAUGCAAGAAUGAUGAUCUGGGUUUCUGUGUGAUCUUGAGCAAGAUUCUCCAUCUCUGGGUCUCAAGUUCUUCAUCUGACUACUUCUGUCCAAAGCCACAUUCAGAAGUCACGGUGAACAUUCAGGAACAGCCACACAGGGCAAGGCGUGCUGCAUUCAUCUACUGUGCAACAGUGGGGGAUUCAGGGACAGAGCACAGCCACAGCCUGGUAAAGAAACUGGCAUGGAAACAACUUAUGAUAACUGCAGUAAAAGAGGGAACCCAGGGCACAAGCUUAUGGAAGAAGAAUUUUCUUAUUUUAUCCAGCUCCCAUUUAUUGAUGCCUGACUCUGAACCCACAUCUGAGAAAGCAAUGAAGUGGGGGAGAUUCCUGUAGGUGACACAUUUUUCCAAAUUUAGAACAGGUAUUUGACUGUUUUAUUAUUUUCUCAUCUUGUAUCUUUUACUUUAUAGCCCAAGUUCUCUAGAAUUUUAUUGAGAGUACAAAGUAGAUGCAGUUCCUUUUUUAUAUAUA
RNAcentral lists this long non-coding RNA (926 nucleotides) under Pan troglodytes (chimpanzee). Its description in RNAcentral is "lncRNA (ENSPTRG00000054593.1)". Lineage: Eukaryota; Metazoa; Chordata; Mammalia; Primates; Hominidae. The record is from RNAcentral.